RNAcentral lists this ribosomal RNA (253 nucleotides) under uncultured bacterium. Its description in RNAcentral is "partial 16S ribosomal RNA". It matches the Rfam family "Bacterial small subunit ribosomal RNA", at positions 524 to 776 of the family's 1533-position model. The record is from RNAcentral.
UACGUAGGGUGCGAGCGUUAAUCGGAAUUACUGGACGUAAAGCGUGCGCAGGCGGCUUUGCAAGACAGAUGUGAAAUCCCCGGGCUUAACCUAGGAACUGCAUUUGUGACUGCAUGGCUGGAGUGCGGCAGAGGGGGAUGGAAUUCCGCGUGUAGCAGUGAAAUGCGUAGAUAUGCGGAGGAACACCGAUGGCGAAGGCAAUCCCCUGGGCCUGCACUGACGCUCAUGCACGAAAGCGUGGGGAGCAAACAGG